CAGGGGGAAGAAGAUAAGAGUGUUUAUAGAACUGAAACUGAGGUAGGGUCAAAAAAUCAAAUAGUCAGAUAGAGAGAGGUCAAUGGAUUCAGAUCAAGGGAAGCUCUUCAUUGGUGGGAUUUCUUGGGAUACUUCAGAAGAUAAACUGAAGGACUAUUUUGGUAACUAUGGGGAGGUAUCGCAGACUGUGAUAAUGCGUGAUAAGAUUACUGGGAGGCCGAGAGGGUUUGGUUUUGUUGUGUUUUCAGAUCCCUCAAUCCUCGAUAGGGUUCUUCAGGAAAAGCACACCAUUGAUGGGAGAACGGUUGAAGCUAAAAGAGCUUUGUCAAGAGAGGAACAACACACUUCCUCUAGGUCUGGAAACCCUAAUGCAGGCAGAAAUCUUGGAAGUGGUGGUGGUGGGGGCAAUGUUAGGACCAAGAAAAUAUUUGUUGGAGGGUUGCCUCCUACUCUAUCAGAAGAUGGAUUCCGCCAGUAUUUUGAGACAUAUGGCCAUGUAACUGAUGUAGUAGUUAUGUAUGAUCAGACUACCCAACGUCCUCGUGGAUUUGGUUUCAUCUCCUUCGAUUCGGAGGAAGCCGUUGAUAGAGUCUUGCACAAGACUUUCCAUGAAUUGAAUGGUAAACUAGUUGAAGUCAAGCGUGCUCUUCCAAAAGAUGCAAACCCUGGAGGUGGUGGCCGUGCAAUGGGUGGUGGGAAUUAUCAGGGAUAUGGUUCUUCUGGUGGUAACACAAGUACUUAUGAUGGUCGGGCGGAUGCCACUAGAUACAUGCAACCUCAAACAGCCGGAGGUGGUUACCCGGCAUAUGGUUCUUCAGGCUAUGGUGCACCUGGCUAUGGAUAUGGUGCAGCAAACAAUGGUGUUGGUUAUGGUGGUUAUGGUGUUGGUGGCUAUGGUGGUGCUAGUGCUGGGUAUGGUGGCCCUGCUGGGGCUUAUGGAAAUCCUAAUGCUCCGAGUGCUGGUUAUCUGAGUGGCCCACCUGGUGGCCCAAGAAGCCCAUGGAGUAAUCAAACACCUUCUGGAUAUGGUUCCACGGGCUAUGGUGCUAAUGCAGGUUAUGGAGCUGCUGCUCCAUGGAAUGUUACUGGUUCUGGUGGUGCUGCUGGUAGUGGGGGUUCUGUUUCUGCAUCUACAGGUCAGUCUCCAAGUGGAGCUGCCAGCUACGGUAAUCAAGGUUAUGGUUAUGGUGGUUAUGGUGGAGGAGAUGGAUCUUAUGCUAACCCAGGUGGAUAUGGUGCUGUUGGAGGACGUGCUGGUAGUACCCCAAGCAGCAAUGCUCCAGCUGGUGCUGGUGGGGGUGAACAAGGGACUGGUGCUGGCUAUAUGGGAAGUGGUUAUGGUGAUGCUAAUGGGAGUUCAGGGUAUCCAAAUGCUGUUUGGAGGUCUGAUGCCUCACAAGCAGGAGGCUAUGGAACUGCCCAAGCCAACCAAGCAAACGGAUCUUCAGGUGGGCAGGUUGGUUAUGGUGGUGGCUAUGGUGGUGCUCAGGCCAGACAGGCACAACAGCAGUAAUCCAGAUUACUUGUGUUUGUCUGAGUAUUGGCUUAGUUUUUCAAACAGAGCUUCUCUUCCUGUGGGACUGUGCUUCUCAUCUGACAUGAAGCGGUGGUACAUGUGGAUGGCAGCAGAUUUUGGGACUGGAGGAGAGGGAGAUGCCCGUCGUCUGAAUGGGAACCAGGUGUCUACCCUUGUGGGCGAUCUCAAAAGGUUUUUAAUGGGGGUUUGUGGCGUGGAAUGGCAUUUAAAGAGGACUCGUCCAAUUUGCCCAACACAAUAAAGCAAGGCAGGGAGGGCCCAGAUCAGGCCAACAACAUUGUCAUACUUCCAGGAGUCUUCAGAUACAUGUCAUGAAGAUCCUUGGAGAGCCUACAAAUCUGAUGGACCUGUGGUAUGUCUACUAAUCGGGCUAUGAUGGUUCCAUGUUUUACAAUUUGUCCUUACACUUUCCGUCUCUGAAGAUGCUCCUUACAGCAAACACCUCAAUAUCUUCUCUGAUUAAAAAAUUUUGAGGUGAUUUAUGUGGUGUGACCCUAUGAACUUUCAUUCCUUUGUUUCUUUCAUUUAGUGAAUUUAUAACUAGUUAGUUCGUUCUUAUGUGACUAUCACUCCUUUUUGUCUUUCUUAUAGUGAAUUUAAAUCAAGUUAGAUCUUUAUUUU
This is an RNA transcript of Telopea speciosissima, 2158 nucleotides long. It is a transcript of the gene named heterogeneous nuclear ribonucleoprotein 1-like, with no coding region annotated. The transcript has 3 exons. NCBI's taxonomy places the organism in Eukaryota, Viridiplantae, Streptophyta, Magnoliopsida, Proteales, Proteaceae. The record is from RefSeq and is a predicted model, not a curated record.